GGGUUGUGAGGUUAAGUGACUAAGCGUACACGGUGGAUGCCUAGGCAGUCAGAGGCGAUGAAGGGCGUGCUAAUCUGCGAAAAGCGUCGGUAAGGUGAUAUGAACCGUUAUAACCGGCGAUACCCGAAUGGGGAAACCCAGUGUGUUUCGACACACUAUCAUGUCAUGAAUACAUAGUGGCAUGAGGCGAACCGGGGGAACUGAAACAUCUAAGUACCCCGAGGAAAAGAAAUCAACCGAGAUUCCCCCAGUAGCGGCGAGCGAACGGGGAGGAGCCCAGAACCUGAAUCGGCUUGUGUGUUAGUGGAAGCGUCUGGAAAGUCGCGCAGCAAAGGGUGAUAGCCCCGUACACUAAAAUGCACAGGUCGUGAGUUCGAUGAGUAGGGCGGGACACGUGACAUCCUGUCUGAAUAUGGGGGGACCAUCCUCCAAGGCUAAAUACUCCUGACUGACCGAUAGUGAACCAGUACCGUGAGGGAAAGGCGAAAAGAACCCCGGCGAGGGGAGUGAAAUAGAACCUGAAACCGUGUACGUACAAGCAGUGGGAGCACCUUCGUGGUGUGACUGCGUACCUUUUGUAUAAUGGGUCAGCGACUUAUAUUUUGUAGCAAGGUUAACCGUAUAGGGGAGCCGUAGGGAAACCGAGUCUUAACUGGGCGAAUAGUUGCAAGGUAUAGACCCGAAACCCGGUGAUCUAGCCAUGGGCAGGUUGAAGGUUGGGUAACACUAACUGGAGGACCGAACCGACUAAUGUUGAAAAAUUAGCGGAUGACUUGUGGCUGGGGGUGAAAGGCCAAUCAAACCGGGAGAUAGCUGGUUCUCCCCGAAAGCUAUUUAGGUAGCGCCUCGUGAACUCAUCUUCGGGGGUAGAGCACUGUUUCGGCUAGGGGGCCAUCCCGGCUUACCAAACCGAUGCAAACUCCGAAUACCGAAGAAUGUUAUCACGGGAGACACACGGCGGGUGCUAACGUCCGUCGUGAAGAGGGAAACAACCCAGACCGCCAGCUAAGGUCCCAAAGUCAUGGUUAAGUGGGAAACGAUGUGGGAAGGCAUAGACAGCCAGGAUGUUGGCUUAGAAGCAGCCAUCAUUUAAAGAAAGCGUAAUAGCUCACUGGUCGAGUCGGCCUGCGCGGAAGAUGUAACGGGGCUAAACCAUGCACCGAAGCUGCGGCAGCGACGCUUAGGCGUUGUUGGGUAGGGGAGCGUUCUGUAAGCCGUUGAAGGUGGCCUGUGAGGGUUGCUGGAGGUAUCAGAAGUGCGAAUGCUGACAUAAGUAACGAUAAAGCGGGUGAAAAGCCCGCUCGCCGGAAGACCAAGGGUUCCUGUCCAACGUUAAUCGGGGCAGGGUGAGUCGACCCCUAAGGCGAGGCUGAAAAGCGUAGUCGAUGGGAAACAGGUUAAUAUUCCUGUACUUGGUGUUACUGCGAAGGGGGGACGGAGAAGGCUAGGCUAGCCGGGCGACGGUUGUCCCGGUUUAAGCGUGUAGGGGGUGUGACCUGGUAAAUCCGGUUGCAUAUCAACCCUGAGGCGUGAUGACGAUGCACUACGGUGCAGAAGUAGUUGAUGCCCUGCUUCCAGGAAAAUCCUCUAAGCUCCAGGUAACAUUAAAUCGUACCCCAAACCGACACAGGUGGUCAGGUAGAGAAUACCAAGGCGCUUGAGAGAACUCGGGUGAAGGAACUAGGCAAAAUGGUGCCGUAACUUCGGGAGAAGGCACGCUGGCAUGUAGGUGAAGUCCCUUGCGGAUGGAGCUGAAGCCAGUCGAAGAUACCAGCUGGCUGCAACUGUUUAAUAAAAACACAGCACUGUGCAAACACGAAAGUGGACGUAUACGGUGUGACGCCUGCCCGGUGCUGGAAGGUUAAUUGAUGGGGUCAGCCGCAAGGCGAAGCUCUUGAUCGAAGCCCCAGUAAACGGCGGCCGUAACUAUAACGGUCCUAAGGUAGCGAAAUUCCUUGUCGGGUAAGUUCCGACCUGCACGAAUGGCGUAAUGAUGGCCAGGCUGUCUCCACCCGAGACUCAGUGAAAUUGAACUCGCUGUGAAGAUGCAGUGUACCCGCGGCAAGACGGAAAGACCCCGUGAACCUUUACUAUAGCUUGACACUGAACAUUGAGCCUUGAUGUGUAGGAUAGGUGGGAGGCUUUGAAGCGUGGACGCCAGUCUGCGUGGAGCCAUCCUUGAAAUACCACCCUUUAAUGUUUGAUGUUCUAACUCGGCCCCGUAAUCCGGGGUGAGGACAGUGUCUGGUGGGUAGUUUGACUGGGGCGGUCUCCUCCCAAAGAGUAACGGAGGAGCACGAAGGUUAGCUAAUCACGGUCGGACAUCGUGAGGUUAGUGCAAAGGCAUAAGCUAGCUUGACUGCGAGAGUGACGGCUCGAGCAGGUACGAAAGUAGGUCUUAGUGAUCCGGUGGUUCUGAAUGGAAGGGCCAUCGCUCAACGGAUAAAAGGUACUCCGGGGAUAACAGGCUGAUACCGCCCAAGAGUUCAUAUCGACGGCGGUGUUUGGCACCUCGAUGUCGGCUCAUCACAUCCUGGGGCUGAAGUAGGUCCCAAGGGUAUGGCUGUUCGCCAUUUAAAGUGGUACGCGAGCUGGGUUUAGAACGUCGUGAGACAGUUCGGUCCCUAUCUGCCGUGGGCGUUGGAAGAUUGAGAGGGGUUGCUCCUAGUACGAGAGGACCGGAGUGAACGCACCACUGGUGUUCGGGUUGUCAUGCCAAUGGCAUUGCCCGGUAGCUAAGUGCGGAAAAGAUAAGCGCUGAAAGCAUCUAAGCGCGAAACUUGCCUCAAGAUGAGUCUUCCCUGGGCCUUUAAGGCCCCUGAAGGAACGUUUAAGACUAAGACGUUGAUAGGCUGGGUGUGUAAGUGCAGCGAUGCAUUGAGCUAACCAGUACUAAUGAUCCGUGAGGCUUAACCUUACAACACCGAAGGUGUUU
RNAcentral lists this ribosomal RNA (2935 nucleotides) under Serratia marcescens. Its description in RNAcentral is "23S ribosomal RNA". It matches the Rfam family "Bacterial large subunit ribosomal RNA". The record is from RNAcentral. Lineage: Bacteria; Pseudomonadati; Pseudomonadota; Gammaproteobacteria; Enterobacterales; Yersiniaceae.